Aedes aegypti (yellow fever mosquito) is the source of this 1517-nucleotide long non-coding RNA. RefSeq lists it as uncharacterized. The transcript has 2 exons. The record is from RefSeq and is a predicted model, not a curated record. NCBI's taxonomy places the organism in Eukaryota, Metazoa, Arthropoda, Insecta, Diptera, Culicidae.
UCUGUCAAAAAUAAGUCUGCUCUGGAGUAGACUUAUUUUUGACAGAUUGGUGAUUAUUCUCUCGAUCCUAAUCGGUUGUUUAUACAGUUUUGAUUCCACUGAGGUCAUUUACGCGACAACCAUCGGGAGGAUCUUCCGGCUGCCUAAACAGAAUAAAAUCAGUUCGAAAAUCAACACAAGCUCCGCUUUUGGCUGCAGUUUGUAAUCAGAUAGUGUAUACAAGAGGACAAGCCGGCUAGAGUGGUUCCCUCAUGGAACUUCUAUGAAAUGCACAAGUCAACCGAAUUGGCCUUGGCCAAAAAUCUUAAAGGAGUUUCCGGCCAGCGACUAAUCACAAUAAUAGGAGAUAAGCUGUAAACAUAACUCAAAAUGGAUAGAAGCAUUGGCUGAUCCACCCAGCUGGGAUUAUCGGAUGAUUUUGAGAAAUUAGUGCCUACGACGUCGAUUCGGUUGAAACUGGUCAUGCUUUACCAUACCAACAAAAUUCAGAGCUGGUAGCAGGUCUCUGAAAAUACUUGGUCUUUAUUUCAAUGAAGGCCUCUAAAAAGUCUCUUUUUUUUACUGGAAGUUCUCUAAAGUCAUCAAAAUGCUAAUUUCUUUUUUCCUCGUGAAUUAAUCCUUGUGCAAAAUUUGAGUCUCCAGAGAUGCCUUCAGAUAUUCUUACGUCACUAUUGCACGGGUUCUUCAUGUAUUUCUUUACGGAUUUCUCAAGUAAAUACUUCAAUAAUUCUAGUGAUUUCUCCAGAGGUUACUUAAAGGAAACUAUCAGGAACUACUCUAGGGUUCUCUCCACACACUAAGCUCAUUAUAUCGGAACCAGCGAAUUUCAAUGUAAUCUGGACAGCUAAACUGCACUUUAUGUAUAACAACAUGUGGAAGUUAUUAAAUCUUGUUAUUCAAUUCACAACAAAAUUAAUGUAUCCAGUCAUAGAUUUGAAUAUUCCAGGCAUCAAAUUAUUGUGUGAUGGUGAAAAAACAUUUUUUAAAGAUGUCAAAAAUAAAUAACUUUGAAACAAAGAAAAAAAUGAAACGUUCAACUUCUCGUCUCAAAAUAUUUGACUUUUAACGUUAAGCUCCACGUCUCUUGUAAAAAAAUACGUGCUAUGGGUUUUAUUAGUUAUUUGAAAUAUUUUGCAAAAUUCCCCGAGAUGAAAGUUUCAGCAAUAAUAUUCCAAAGGAAUUACUGAAGCUUUUGUGAUGGAAUUCAUUCGCCGAAAUUUUCAACUGAACAAGAAUCUCAAAUUAUGUCAUAUUCCUUUAAAUCCAAUAUAACAACAUGAAAUCAACUAUUUUUGCAAGUUUUUUUAUUCAUAAAAGUGGGAAGUGGUUUGAGCUAACGAAUUCAAUUUCUAAUGAUUCUACUAUUAAAAUUCAAAUUUUCAUUUAGAUAUAUAUGAGGAUUGAGAGUCAUAAAGUAUUUCAAGUUAAUUAAAAUAUUGUAUUCUAUAGUUUUGUUCAUUGAUUCCAACUGAAAUAAUGGUUGAAAAGUGGGUUACUGGCCAUUUCAAACAUAUUGC